CCUACGGGGGGCGGCAGUGGGGAAUAUUGCACAAUGGGGGAAACCCUGAUGCAGCAACGCCGCGUGAGCGAUGAAGGCCUUCGGGUCGUAAAGCUCUGUCCUAAGGGAAGAAUAUUGACGGUACCUUAGGAGGAAGCCCCGGCUAACUACGUGCCAGCAGCCGCGGAUAUACGUAGGGGGCUAGCGUUAUCCGGAAUUACUGGGCGGAAAGGAUGCGUAGGCGGACCUUCAAGUCUGAGGAGAAAUGCUACGGCUCAACCGUAGUAAGCCUUUGAAACUGUAGGGCGUGAGGGCAGGAGAGGAGAGUGGAAUUCCCAGUGUAGCGGUGAAAUGCGGAGAUGUUGGGAGGAACACCAGUGGCGAAGGCGGCUCUCUGGACUGUAACUGACGCUGGGGCACGAAAGCGUGGGGAGCGAACAGGAUUAGAUACCCUUGUAGUC
This 440-nucleotide ribosomal RNA is filed under the name uncultured bacterium. Its description in RNAcentral is "bacterial SSU rRNA". It matches the Rfam family "Bacterial small subunit ribosomal RNA", at positions 338 to 795 of the family's 1533-position model. The record is from RNAcentral.